Molecule: transfer RNA, 70 nt
Filed under: Cavia porcellus (domestic guinea pig)
Lineage: Eukaryota; Metazoa; Chordata; Mammalia; Rodentia; Caviidae
Rfam family: tRNA
About the family: Transfer RNA (tRNA) molecules are approximately 80 nucleotides in length. Their secondary structure includes four short double-helical elements and three loops (D, anti-codon, and T loops).
Source: Rfam by way of RNAcentral
GGGUAUGGUUCAGUGGUAGAGCACUUGCCUAGCAUGCACAAGGUCCUGAGUUUAAUUCCCAGUACCACCA